This is a ribosomal RNA of Candidatus Walczuchella monophlebidarum, 113 nucleotides long. NCBI's taxonomy places the organism in Bacteria, Pseudomonadati, Bacteroidota, Flavobacteriia, Flavobacteriales. The record is from Rfam.
AUGGGUGACUAAUGCAACGGUGAUCACCUCUUUCCAUUCCGAACAGAGAAGUUAAGCCCGUCAGCGCUAAUGGUACUGGGAUGGACUCCCGGGAGAGUAUGUGGUUGCCCAUU